Molecule: ribosomal RNA, 465 nt
Filed under: uncultured bacterium
Lineage: Bacteria
Description: partial 16S ribosomal RNA
Rfam family: Bacterial small subunit ribosomal RNA
Source: RNAcentral
CCUACGGGUGGCAGCAGUGGGGAAUAUUGCGCAAUGGGCGAAAGCCUGACGCAGCGACGCCGCGUGAGGGAUGAAGGUCUUCGGAUCGUAAACCUCUGUCAGCAGGGAAGAACGGUCACUGUGCUAAUCAGCAGUGAAUUGACGGUACCUGAAGAAGAAGCCCCGGCUAACUACGUGCCAGCAGCCGCGGUAAUACGUAGGGGGCAAGCGGUAUCCGGAUUUACUGGGUGUAAAGGGGGCGCAGACGGCGAUGCAAGCCAGGAGUGAAAGCCCGGGGCCCAACCCCGGGACUGCUCUUGGAACUGCGUGGCUGGAGUGCAGGAGGGGCAGGCGGAAUUCCUGGUGUAGCGGUGAAAUGCGUAGAUAUCAGGAGGAACACCGGUGGCGAAGGCGGCCUGCUGGACUGCAACUGACGUUGAGGCCCGAAAGCGUGGGGAGCAAACAGGAUUAGAUACCCCAGUAGUC